Molecule: ribosomal RNA, 498 nt
Filed under: uncultured Verrucomicrobiota bacterium
Lineage: Bacteria; Pseudomonadati; Verrucomicrobiota
Description: bacterial SSU rRNA
Rfam family: Bacterial small subunit ribosomal RNA
Source: RNAcentral
AGGAUGAAGGUUUUCGGAUUGUAAACUCCUGUCAUUUGGGAACAAACCUUUCAUUUAACUGAUGAAAGACUGAUAGUACCAGAAGAGGAAGAGACGGCUAACUCUGUGCCAGCAGCCGCGGUAAUACAGAGGUCUCAACCGUUGUUCGGAUUCAUUGGGCGUAAAGGGUGCGUAGGCGGUCGCGCAAGUCGGAUGUGAAAUCUCGAGGCUCAACCUCGAAACUGCAUUCGAUACUGCGUGGCUAGAGUGCUGGAGGGGAGACUGGAAUUUACGGUGUAGCAGUGAAAUGCGUAGAUAUCGUAAGGAAGACCAGUGGCGAAGGCGAGUCUCUGGACAGCAACUGACGCUGAGGCACGAAGGCCAGGGGAGCAAACGGGAUUAGAUACCCCGGUAGUCCUGGCAGUAAACGGUGCACGUUUGGUGUAGGCGGAUUCGACCCCGCCUGUGCCGGAGCUAACGCGUUAAACGUGCCGCCUGGGAAGUACGGUCGCAAGAUUA